RNAcentral lists this transfer RNA (61 nucleotides) under Pseudocrangonyx joolaei. RNAcentral describes it as "tRNA-Val". The record is from RNAcentral. Lineage: Eukaryota; Metazoa; Arthropoda; Malacostraca; Amphipoda; Pseudocrangonyctidae.
AAAGAUAUAGCUUGAAUAGCAUUUCAGUUACAUUGAGAGGAUCCUAUAAUAGGUGUUUUUA